CGGGAUGUAGCGCAGCCUGGGUAGCGCACUACCUUGGGGUGGUAGAGGUCGCCCGUUCAAAUCGGGUCAUUCCGACCA
RNAcentral lists this transfer RNA (78 nucleotides) under Sulfurospirillum sp. UBA11407. RNAcentral describes it as "tRNA-Pro". It matches the Rfam family "tRNA". From Rfam's summary of the family: Transfer RNA (tRNA) molecules are approximately 80 nucleotides in length. The record is from RNAcentral. RNAcentral also lists the same sequence under 1 other name. Lineage: Bacteria; Pseudomonadati; Campylobacterota; Epsilonproteobacteria; Campylobacterales; Sulfurospirillaceae.